UAUUUUGGGCAAAUCACUGCCCCAAUCACUUCUCUGUGAGUCAGUCCUCUAUGUCUCUGCGAGUGAUUUGGCCAGUGAUCUUCGAGUGUCUUGGGCAAAUCACUUGCCAUAUCACUACUGCCUGUUGCCUCCGGGUUUCUGCUUCAGCUUGAUCUGGGCAGUGAUUGGAGCAGAUUAUCUGGUGGUCUUGGGCAAAUCAUCCUUUUGUAAAUUUUCUGCACUUUUUCUUCCAUUUUCCAAUUUCUUCCUUUUAUGUAAAAACAAGAUAAAAACCAUAAAUUAAACUGAAAAAUGUGUAAAUAAGCAAUAAUAAUUAUGAUAAAAAUGUGGCUAAAUUAU
RNAcentral lists this long non-coding RNA (339 nucleotides) under Manihot esculenta (cassava). Its description in RNAcentral is "long non-coding RNA (MESC_LNC007349)". Lineage: Eukaryota; Viridiplantae; Streptophyta; Magnoliopsida; Malpighiales; Euphorbiaceae. The record is from RNAcentral.